RNAcentral lists this ribosomal RNA (591 nucleotides) under Triticum aestivum (bread wheat). RNAcentral describes it as "partial small subunit ribosomal RNA". The record is from RNAcentral. Lineage: Eukaryota; Viridiplantae; Streptophyta; Magnoliopsida; Poales; Poaceae.
GCGCACCUUUCCCCUCGCCCAAACCCUAAAAAAGAAAAAAAAAACUUUCCUUCGAUCCAAAGGAAAUCUCCAAACCCUAGCACGUCCUCCGCCGGCCCCCCCGCACCCCAUGGCGCAGCUUGUCCGACCUCGCGACCGCGACCGCUACAACCAACCAAAGCACCCCUCUCCCCUCUCCUCCCCUCCUCCGACGCUCGGAGGCGACCAGCAACCCACGUCCCUAUUUCGUCGUCCCGACCUAAUUCUUCUUCCCGACGGUCGACGAAUCUCUAUCUACGAAGAUAGGCAUGGAGUUCUCGUCACCGAUGCCCUCCGCUGGUCGACACGACCCGUCGAAGAUGUCUACAUGGAAGUCCUCUACGAUCUCCAGACGAGUCCGCGCGAUCUUCCACCCCCCAUCGCGGAGCCCGUCCCACGCCGCCACCGCGGCCGAGAUGCCCACCGCGGCCGACUUGUUGGUUUGGGAAAGUUUCAUGAAGGCUCUUGUUGUCUUGGGAUUGUCAACGGGAUGAGCAUAGUAGUGGGCAAGGUGCUCUUCAUCAAAAUCUGGCAAUUGGGAGACUACAUCCCAAAGGUCAUCGGCUAUAGCUU